Molecule: long non-coding RNA, 316 nt
Filed under: Mytilus galloprovincialis (Mediterranean mussel)
Lineage: Eukaryota; Metazoa; Mollusca; Bivalvia; Mytilida; Mytilidae
Source: RNAcentral
UUUACAAGAUUUUUUUAACCAAAUUUUUACAGCUGUUUUCAUCAAAGAACAAAUACCUUCCUAAUAUCAGCCAUUAACACAACAUUUUACAUUUAUAAGGAACAAAAAUUUAUAAAAAAGCAAACUGCUAAAAUGCUACCAUAGUAAUUCCUGAUUGAUGAAUAAAACCAUGAUCCUACAUACAAAUAUUUGCCAAUUCAAAUGAUCUUUAACAAAAGAAAUACAUUACAACAUUUCUAUAUUAUUUGAUCAAUGCUGGUGUGGUGUCUUCAUUUCAUCAAAAUGUGUAUACUACUGUUUAUUAGGAAUUGUCAAA